CAAAUGGAAUUGCAGGGAUUUACUAAACAGAAACAUCAGGAAUAUUUAUUUCUUCUUGGCCACACCUUUUCUCAGCCCGCACUUUCUUCCCACAGUGAGAACACGUGUACAUGUUGUCACCUUCCAAGUUUUCAACAGGAUGUGUUUAGCCAGAGAAAAGAAUGUGCAGCAUAAAGCAAUUCUUUAGAACCCAUCCCCAUUCCACUGCCUUGCACACUGGGAAUGCAGGACUCACUCACUCUGAUCUCUUUUAAGGAUGUACAGCAAGACAGCACCUCCUGUAAAUAUUGCCUUUUUUAGAAAAAAGUCUUUCUUCAAGAUUUAAAUAAUGAGUCACUACCUGAAGCUUCAAGAGCUACUAAAUACACAUCAGAGUAAACUGGGAGAUGGAAAACAUCCAAGAGCUGCUCACAGCAGUCCAUCAGAGCUUAAGAAAAAAUGUCUGAAGACACAAAUUAAAAGCAAUAAACGUUGAUAAGAAUGCCAG
This is a long non-coding RNA of Onychostruthus taczanowskii (white-rumped snowfinch), 487 nucleotides long. RefSeq lists it as uncharacterized. The record is from RefSeq and is a predicted model, not a curated record. Lineage: Eukaryota; Metazoa; Chordata; Aves; Passeriformes; Passeridae. The transcript is spliced from 3 exons.